Molecule: non-coding RNA, 968 nt
Filed under: Odontobutis obscura
Lineage: Eukaryota; Metazoa; Chordata; Actinopteri; Gobiiformes; Odontobutidae
Description: 12S ribosomal RNA
Rfam family: Bacterial small subunit ribosomal RNA
Source: RNAcentral
CAAAAGCUAAGUCCUGACUUUACUAUCAACUUUGGCCAAACUUAUACAUGCAAGUAUCCGCAUCCCAGUGAGAAUGCCCUAAAACUCCUAUUAUCCAGAGGUCAUAAGGAGCAGGUAUCAGGCACAACCUAUAGUAUUAGCCCACGACACCUUGCUCAGCCACACCCCCAAGGGAUUUCAGCAGUGAUUAAUAUUAAGCCAUAAGUGCAAACUUGACUUAGUUAAGGCCAAGCAGAGCCGGUAAAACUCGUGCCAGCCACCGCGGUUAUACGAGAGGCUCAAGCUGAUAGACCACCGGCGUAAAGAGUGGUUAAAAAACAGUAAACAACUAAAGCUAAACACCUUCAAGGCCGUUCUACGCAACCGAAGACAGGAGAAACCCCCACGAAAGUGGCUUUAAAACCAUUGAACUCCACGAAGAUUAGGACACAAACUGGGAUUAGAUACCCCACUAUGCCUGACCCUAAACAAAAACGACACCCUUACACCUCCGUCACUCGCCAGGGAACUACAAGCACUAGCUCGAAACCCAAAGGACUUGGCGGUGCUUUAGAACCACCUAGAGGAGCCUGUUCUAUAACCGAUACUCCCCGUUUAACCUCACCCUUUCUUGCACACUACCGCCUAUAUACCGCCGUCGUCAGCUUACCCUAUAAGGGCCCCAUAGUAAGCAAAACUGGUAAAACCUAACACGUCAGGUCGAGGUGUAGCACACGAAAGGGAAAGAAAUGGGCUACACUCCCUGACUCAGGGUAUACAAACAAUAAUUUGAAAUAAUUAUCUAAAGGUGGAUUUAGCAGUAAGGGGAGAAUACAGAGAGUUCCCCUGAAACCGGCCCUGAAGCGCGCACACACCGCCCGUCACUCUCCCCAAAUCUAUACUGAACCCCAAACAUAUAAAAAAUAACUUCCACAAAGGGGAGACAAGUCGUAACAUGGUAAGUGCACCGGAAGGUGUACUUGGAAAAA